GCGGAAGGAUCAUUAAUGAAAUUUAUGACUGGGGUUGUGGCUGGCCUUUUAAAACGGGCAUGUGCACGCCUCUUUCACUAAUCCACACACACCUGUGCACCUUUGCGGGGGUUCUGGGAAUCGGCGCAAGUCGUAGUACCGGGGCUCGCGUCCCUUUACACACCCUUUAUGUAUGUCUUAAGAAUGUCUACUCGAUGUAAUAAAACGCAUCUAAUACAACUUUCAACAACGGAUCUCUUGGCUCUCGCA
RNAcentral lists this unclassified non-coding RNA (249 nucleotides) under uncultured fungus. Its description in RNAcentral is "partial contains 18S rRNA, ITS1, 5.8S rRNA". The record is from RNAcentral. Lineage: Eukaryota; Fungi.